CCUACGGGAGGCAGCAGUCGAGAAUCAUUCACAAUGGGGGAAACCCUGAUGGUGCGACGCCGCGUGGGGGAAUGAAGGUCUUCGGAUUGUAAACCCCUGUCAUGUGGGAGCAAAUUAAAAAGACAGUACCACAAGAGGCAGAGACGGCUAACGCUGUGCCAGCAGCCGCGGUAAUACAGAGGUCUCAAGCGUUGUUCGGAAUGACUGGGUGUAAAGUGUGCGGAGGCGGUUGCGUAAGUCGUGUGUGAAAGGCGCGGGCUCAACCCGCGGACGGCACAUGAUAAUGCGAGACUAGAGUAAAGGAGAGGGAACCGGAAUUCUCGGUGUAGCAGUGAAAUGCGUAGAUA
RNAcentral lists this ribosomal RNA (347 nucleotides) under uncultured bacterium. RNAcentral's name for it is "partial 16S ribosomal RNA". It matches the Rfam family "Bacterial small subunit ribosomal RNA", at positions 338 to 696 of the family's 1533-position model. The record is from RNAcentral.